AUGGGCUUCUCGUCUGUUCUAUCGAUCACCUGUAGCUCUCGGGAGUAUUUUGUUCUUCCUUUCUUCUUAAGGAGUCAAUUUCCCUUUUUAUUGCAGGCAGAUGUCUGGAAAGAAGAAUACGAACGCCGCUUGGAACAGAUGUUAACCUGCAGAAAGUCUUGGGUAAACGGGUCGUCCAGGAACAUUGUUAUUUUUCUUAUCUCCCUGGAAUGGAGUGCUUCAAGCAGGCCAGAAAUCAACCUACGAAAAAUGUACUUAGAAUAUACUCAUUUCAGCAAACUGCUAUGUGUUUAUGUUCAAAUCUAUGAGUGGCUACCUUAAAAAAGCAUCAAACUUGGCAAAUCACAAAACAGUGUGUGUUUCCUUUGUAUUACUUGAAACAGUCUGCACAUUCUUGAUAAUUUCCCUUCAAAGCACUUGCUUUUAGCCUUUUCAAACACACAUGAAUAAUUUGUUUCUAUUGAGGUACGAAGUCUUCUCUGAUAGUAAACUAAGAAUCUUGAG
Molecule: long non-coding RNA, 504 nt
Filed under: Mustela putorius furo (domestic ferret)
Lineage: Eukaryota; Metazoa; Chordata; Mammalia; Carnivora; Mustelidae
Description: lncRNA (ENSMPUG00000031665.1)
Source: RNAcentral